Molecule: long non-coding RNA, 1821 nt
Filed under: Cucumis sativus (cucumber)
Lineage: Eukaryota; Viridiplantae; Streptophyta; Magnoliopsida; Cucurbitales; Cucurbitaceae
Description: long non-coding RNA (CSAT_LNC002940)
Source: RNAcentral
CUUUUGACUAAGAAAAGUCAAAGUUUGACUUUUGACUAGAAAUAUCUAAUGACCAUUUUACCCUUGGACUAAGUUAGUGGGAAAAUCCAACAUUUUGUUGGAUAAUCCCACUAACUCUUAGUGGGAUAUGUGGCUAUAUGAGAUAUAGACACCUAGCCCACUAAGUUCCACUAAUUGUUAGUGGAAUAUUAGGUGUUGAGAUUUGGCAAAUGAAUUGCAUGCAUUUUUUCAUGUAAUUAGGUUAUAAAUAGAGGUGUUUUCAAAUGUUGAAAAAACUUUUGCCUCUUUUAUCAUUUUCAUCAUCUCAACAAAAGAAAAAAGAAAGCUUCCAAUCUCAUUUUAUCUCCAUUACUUUCUACACCAAAAUUGGGUCCCACAACCCGGUUCUUUGUCUAGAGGAUAGCAGUUGAGUACUAGUGGUGGUCUCGGUUAGAAUUGGUAAGAAGAUAUCAAACCUUUUGAAAGCUUCAAAGGUAAUAUUUCUUAAAACCCUAAUUUGAUUAGUUUAUGGUUACAUGUUAAUUGUGGCAAUUAGGGUAGAAAUUCGAUUCUUUUUUCGCUGUGCAUGACUUAGUUCUAUCAUGUGGUAUCAGAGCAUGCUUCAUUUUUACCCAAUUGCAUGUGGUGGGUUCAUAUUUAUUAGAUAAAUUUUGGUUUGAACUAAAAUGGAUAUAUUAUGAUUUUGGCUCUAGAUUAAGUGUUUUUGUUCUAAUUAUUGUAAUUAGCCUUGUUAAUGGCUUAUUUUUAUUGUUGCAAAGUGUUUGUAAUUUUUAAAAAAAUAAAAAAAGUCAUUAGAGUUGAAGUUAGGCUUUAACUGGUUCAACCGGGUGAGAGAAUUGAAAAAAAAUGAAGAAAAGAAGGUCACAGACCCGAAAACCCGCCUUGACCCGCUUCGCGACCCGCACGCGCCCGCAUGCCCGCACGCCCUCCUGCGCCCGCGCGCCCGCCUGUGUCCGCAUGCGUCUGCGCGCGCCGCGUGCCUGCCUUCGCCCGACCCGUGUGCGCCUGGGCCGGUUCAAGCAGUUUCGGUUGGUUUUUCAGCCGGUUCAAAGUUUUUGGGAGUGGUUCUGUACUACACCAAAGUAAUUAUGUAAUAAUUUAGUACUUAGCUUAAUUUAGGAGCCAAAAAUCAGUCCAUUUUAGGGUGUUUUUUUUUAUUUAUGCAUGUGAUGUAUGAUUAAAUUACUUUAAAUUUGUAUGUGCAUUUUGAAUGUCAUAUAGAUUUAAAAUCCCACCAUAGGUUAACAUGUUCAUGCAUUAAAAUGUAUGAUAUAAAGGUUAUAUUGUAUUGUAUGCAUGUUAAUUGAUUAAUAUGGAAAUUAAAAUCCCACCAUAGGUGUUUGCUUUUCAUUCUAGGUCAUAAAGCUUGGGUGUGACGUUUCGGCAUUUUCAUAUGCAAGCCUGCCAGAGCUGAAAAUGUUCAAAAUGUAUUAUAGGGGAGGCAUACCAGUUGAAUCCCCGCUCGAGCAUUAGUUGUACUCUUUGCAAGCAACCCUUUUCGUGGCACGCGUGCGGGGCCUGUGAGCUGUCCUCGAGAGGUGCCUGCCAAUGUUGUGGGCAUAUGUUCUGGUCACCCUUGGGCUGUCUCGGGACCACGUUGGGCUACUCCUGGGCCAUGCUAAAGGAGUCGUGGCACGUAUUGGCGCAAUUUUGCGGGUGAUUUUUGGGGUCAAAGCUUCACAUGUGACAUCAGGCUUACUUCUUUUCAUUUCUUUCUUUUUUCUUCUUCUUUCUUUUUCCCGUUUUAAAUUUUAUCUCUAAACCAAACUCCAACUAACUCUAAUUUAUGUUUAGGAACUUGUAAUUUUGGAGUACAAUAUA